RNAcentral lists this ribosomal RNA (535 nucleotides) under uncultured bacterium. RNAcentral describes it as "bacterial SSU rRNA". It matches the Rfam family "Bacterial small subunit ribosomal RNA", at positions 57 to 620 of the family's 1533-position model. The record is from RNAcentral.
GCAAGUCGCACGGUGUAGCAAUACACAGUGGCGCACGGGUGAGUAAUGUAUCGCUAAUGUGCCCCGGAGACAGGGAUAGCUGCCCGAAAGGGCAGGUAAUACCUGAUGAUAUAACCUUGUCGCAUGGCAGGGUUCUCAAAAGCAGCAAUGUGCUCUGGGAGCAGGCGAUAUCGUAUCAGCUAGUUGGUGAGGUAACGGCUCACCAAGGCGACGACGCGUAGCUGGUCUGAGAGGACGACCAGCCACAUCGGGACUGAGACACUGCCCGGACUCCUACGGGGGGCUGCAGUAACGAAUCUUCCGCAAUGUACGAAAGUAUGACGGAGCGACGCCGCGUGGAGGAGAAGUCCUUCGGGAUGUAAACUCCUGUCAGGGGAAAGAAAGUUCUGAUCUACCCCAGAGGAAGAGGCGGCUAACUCUGUGCCAGCAGCCGCGGUAAUACAGAGGCCUCGAGCGUUAGGCGGAAUCACUGGGCUUAAAGCGUGUGUAGGUGGAUGCCUAAGUACCUUGUGAAAUCCACGGCUUAACCGUGGAA